RNAcentral lists this ribosomal RNA (377 nucleotides) under uncultured bacterium. Its description in RNAcentral is "bacterial SSU rRNA". It matches the Rfam family "Bacterial small subunit ribosomal RNA", at positions 523 to 898 of the family's 1533-position model. The record is from RNAcentral.
AUACGGAGGGUGCAAACGUUGCUCGGAAUCAUUGGGCGUAAAGCGCGUGUAGGCGGCUUGUUAAGUCGGGUGUGAAAGCCCUGGGCUCAACCCAGGAAGUGCGCCCGAAACUGGCGAGCUAGAGUACGGGAGAGGGUAGUGGAAUUCCCGGUGUAGAGGUGAAAUUCGUAGAUAUCGGGAGGAACACCAGUGGCGAAGGCGGCUACCUGGACCGAUACUGACGCUGAGACGCGAAAGCGUGGGUAGCAAACAGGAUUAGAUACCCUGGUAGUCCACGCCGUAAACGAUGAGUGCUAGGUGUUGCGGGUAUUGACCCCUGCAGCGCCGCAGCUAACGCAUUAAGCACUCCGCCUGGGGAGUACGGCCGCAAGGCUAAA